AAAUACAACUAAAUCAAUUUAGCAAUACCGCACGAAUUUGAUCUACCUAACAUCAUUUACUACGAUCGAUCAACCCUAAAACAGGGCGUGAUAGUUCCAACUCCAACGAACUAGCAAAAGCCUGACCUUCAGUAAGCAAGUGAUGCAUGAGUCAACGGCCAGCAGUUAGCAACAGAUUCAGCCUCUGUAUGUUUUACUCUUCAAGAAGUGACGAGCAGUUACUAAUCGCUGUGACUAAACUGAAACACCAGCGAAAAGAGGACUGUUGUUUGAAAGCCUAACACCGAAGAAACGCCAUAAGGCUUUCCCUGGAUUCCGAUAGAGGUGGCGUUUCGUCAUACGCAGAAGAAAAUCAUUGAAUGCAGCCAACCCAGUGAUGAAUGAAAUGUUCCUGAAAACAGUUCCCGGUAAAAGUUGCGUAAGAUCCGUUUCGGUUGUACACUGCGUGCAGAAUUAUUGGCACACCACAAAAAUAAUGA
Molecule: long non-coding RNA, 479 nt
Organism: Helicoverpa zea (corn earworm)
Lineage: Eukaryota; Metazoa; Arthropoda; Insecta; Lepidoptera; Noctuidae
Exons: 3
Source: RefSeq, a predicted model, not a curated record